GUCUACGGCCACGCCAUCCUGAACAAGCCCGAUCCCGUCUGAUCUCAGAAGCUGAGCAGGGUCGAGACUGGUUAGUACUCGGAUGGGAGACCACCUAGGAAGACUAGGUGCUGUAGGCA
This is a ribosomal RNA of Pteropus vampyrus (large flying fox), 119 nucleotides long. Lineage: Eukaryota; Metazoa; Chordata; Mammalia; Chiroptera; Pteropodidae. The record is from Ensembl.